This 438-nucleotide ribosomal RNA is filed under the name uncultured bacterium. RNAcentral's name for it is "partial 16S ribosomal RNA". It matches the Rfam family "Bacterial small subunit ribosomal RNA", at positions 339 to 795 of the family's 1533-position model. The record is from RNAcentral.
CUACGGGUCGCUGCAGUGAGGAAUAUUGCACAAUGGGGGGAACCCUGAUGCAGCAACGCCGCGUGGAGGAUGACGCAUUUCGGUGUGUAAACUCCUUUUAUAUGUCAAGAAAAUGACGGUAGCAUAUGAAUAAGCACCGGCUAACUCCGUGCCAGCAGCCGCGGUAGACGGAGGGUGCAAGCGUUACUCGGAAUCACUGGGCGUAAAGGACGCGUAGGCGGGUUGGAAAGUCAGGCGUGAAAUCCUACAGCUUAACUGUAGAACUGCACUUGAAACUUCUAAUCUAGAGUAUGGGAGGGGGAGAUGGAAUUAGUGGUGUAGGGGUAAAAUCCGUAGAUAUCACUAGGAAUACCUAAAGCGAAGGCGAUCUCCUGGAACAUUACUGACGCUAAGGCGUGAAAGCGUGGGGAGCAAACAGGAUUAGAUACCCCUGUAGUC